CCUUUUGUAGAAUGAACCGGCGAGUUACGAUUUGAUGCAAGGUUAAGCAGUAAAUGUGGAGCCGUAGCGAAAGCGAGUCUGAAUAGGGCGUUUAGUAUUUGGUCGUAGACCCGAAACCAGGUGAUCUACCCUUGGUCAGGUUGAAGUUCAGGUAACACUGAAUGGAGGACCGAACCGACUUACGUUGAAAAGUGAGCGGAUGAACUGAGGGUAGCGGAGAAAUUCCAAUCGAACCUGGAGAUAGCUGGUUCUCUCCGAAAUAGCUUUAGGGCUAGCCUCAAGUGAUGAUUAUUGGAGGUAGAGCACUGUUUGGACGAGGGGCCCCUCUCGGGUUACCGAAUUCAGACAAACUCCGAAUGCCAAUUAAUUUAACUUGGGAGUCAGAACAUGGGUGAUAAGGUCCGUGUUCGAAAGGGAAACAGCCCAGACCACCAGCUAAGGUCCCAAAAUAUAUGUUAAGUGGAAAAGGAUGUGGCGUUGCCCAGACAACUAGGAUGUUGGCUUAGAAGCAGCCAUCAUUUAAAGAGUGCGUAAUAGCUCACUAGUCGAGUGACACUGCGCCGAAAAUGUACCGGGGCUAAACAUAUUACCGAAGCUGUGGAUUGUCCUUUGGACAAUGGUAGGAGAGCGUUCUAAGGGCGUUGAAGCAUGAUCGUAAGGACAUGUGGAGCGCUUAGAAGUGAGAAUGCCGGUGUGAGUAGCGAAAGACGGGUGA
Molecule: ribosomal RNA, 715 nt
Filed under: Staphylococcus aureus
Lineage: Bacteria; Bacillati; Bacillota; Bacilli; Caryophanales; Staphylococcaceae
Description: partial 23S ribosomal RNA
Rfam family: Bacterial large subunit ribosomal RNA
Source: RNAcentral